This 397-nucleotide ribosomal RNA is filed under the name uncultured bacterium. RNAcentral describes it as "partial 16S ribosomal RNA". It matches the Rfam family "Bacterial small subunit ribosomal RNA", at positions 523 to 918 of the family's 1533-position model. The record is from RNAcentral.
AUACGUAGGGGGCGAGCGUUGUCCGGAAUGAUUGGGCGUAAAGGGCGCGUAGGCGGCCCGGUAAGUCUGGAGUGAAAGUCCUGUUUUUAAGAUGGGAAUUGCUUUGGAUACUGUCGGGCUUGAGUGCAGGAGAGGUAAGUGGAAUUCCCAGUGUAGCGGUGAAAUGCGUAGAGAUUGGGAGGAACACCAGUGGCGAAGGCGACUUACUGGACAGUAACUGACGCUGAGGCGCGAAAGCGUGGGGAGCAAACAGGAUUAGAUCCCCUGGUAGUCCACGCCGUAAACGAUGAAUACUAGGUGUAGGGGGUAUCGACUCCCUCUGUGCCGCAGUUAACACAAUAAGUAUUCCGCCUGGGGAGUACGGCCGCAAGGUUGGAACUCAAAUGAAUUGACGGGG